GACGAACAACUUGAGAGUAGCAUCCUAUUAAAGCGAACAGUUAACAUCAAGGAACAUACUAACAACAACAAACAAAGACAAAUAUGAAUACGCCAUGGUCUUUAACCCUCUUUUUAAGUUUCUUCUUCAGGUAGAUAUCUAAAAACUCAAGAUCACGCGAAAACAAAUAAAAUGCAAAGAAGGGGGUUGUAACUGUAAACUGUAAAGUAAACCAUAAAACAUGAAUCUCUAAGACAAGAUACUGCGCUUUAUGAAGACAGGCUUCCUCUUGUCCGAUCCCUUAAUCUGUCUCGAAAACUUUCUGAAGCGUUUCCUAAUUUGAUUCAGACCGGAACCCUAAGAAUAAAAAAAAAACAGAGGAAACUGUAAAGACAUUACGAAACAGAGAAAUAACUAAAGAAACUCAAGAUUUAAGAUCGAUCGAACGCACCUUCUUCUUGUCGAUAACCAUGGACACAGACCUGAAUAAUUUGAUAAAUUGAAUUAUAGUCCCAAUUUGAAGUCGAUUUUUGAGAUUCCGGGUGAAAAUCAAGUACGCACGGUGAAGUUACGAAGAAGAGAGAAA
Molecule: long non-coding RNA, 565 nt
Filed under: Brassica rapa (field mustard)
Lineage: Eukaryota; Viridiplantae; Streptophyta; Magnoliopsida; Brassicales; Brassicaceae
Description: long non-coding RNA (BRAP_LNC002620)
Source: RNAcentral